GUAAAAAUUGCUCCCAUUAUAAAAGCUCGACCAGAAUUUUCUAGCUUUUCUAAUUCUUAUUGAGCCAUCCUCAAAUACUGGAGGAGCUGAAAUAGGAAGAAAUAAAGAAAAAAAAAUGAGCUCAUUACUGCAAUGCUUCUGACUUAAGGUCUGGCCCAUGAAUGGAAUACAUGGCAAGGAGGAAUACGUUUGGAAUUUCACCCCAGUGAAACAGAGAGAACUGCUUGAAGAAUCCCUUUUUGAAAAAGAAUUCCUGGGGCUCGUAUGAAAAUGCUGGAAGAAAGAUUAUCACUAGCAUUGCUGUUCCUGUUGUAACUAUAAUAGAUUUUUUGUAUUUUUUGAGGGUGAAAAAUGAGGUUUGAUUUUAAAGGUACUUAAAGAGGUUGACUCUUAGUACCGCCUUACUCUAUGAAGGAAGAAAAGAGAAACAAGAGUUUAUGAAACUCCCACAGGGCACUUACCUGCCAUUAGAAACUUUCUCCAUGGAAACCAGAAACAUGAAAAGAAACUAUAUGGAAAAGGGAGUGCAUAAUUAUAAUUUUGAAAUACACCAGUGUUUUAAUAAAACUAUUCUUCUUUUUUUCCCCAUCAUGUAGAGUAGAG
Molecule: long non-coding RNA, 603 nt
Filed under: Gallus gallus (chicken)
Lineage: Eukaryota; Metazoa; Chordata; Aves; Galliformes; Phasianidae
Description: lncRNA (ENSGALG00010009066.1)
Source: RNAcentral